Long non-coding RNA from Momordica charantia (bitter melon), 727 nucleotides. RefSeq lists it as uncharacterized. The record is from RefSeq and is a predicted model, not a curated record. NCBI's taxonomy places the organism in Eukaryota, Viridiplantae, Streptophyta, Magnoliopsida, Cucurbitales, Cucurbitaceae.
ACCCAAGCCGCGACCAGGUUCACUGAACCUCCGAACCCCACUCCCUCUCUACUCUUUAUUUAAGCCCUCCACAGAACAGAAUUCGCCUGCUCAGAUCGCAAAAUCAGUAACCAUUUCCGAUCGCAGCUGCCGCUGGCCUCUGCACAAUGUGAAUGGGGUAGAGUAGUCGGCAUGAACAAUUCUUCCUUUGAUAAAAAUGGUAUCAAGAAUGAUGCCAAUUAUUAAUUAUCUGUUUAGGACAACCAGCAUUUCUUUAGAUUCUGACUGCUGAGAUAGAAGAGCUCGGAAAAUUUGUAGAUAUUUGCACCAUUUCUCGUAGCCAUUCACCUGCUUUCAGAUUUAUGCUCCUCUAGGAUAAAAGCUAUUUGCAAACCUGGCCUUGUCGGGGCGAUGACGUGGAGAGAGCGACUUCGGUGGCAGCCACCAUUCACGGUCGCCUGGUCCGAUCUGGUCGGCUGUUGUUUCUCCUUUUGCAGGAAUGUGAUUGAACAGCAUAGCAGAUAGAACAUUUUGCUGUGCUUGGGAUUUGAAGAGUUCCCCCUCUUGAAACUUCAAUGUCAUCGUUUUUUUGUUUUGUUUUUAUAAGUGAUUAUGUACUCCUGUUUUCGUUGCAUUGUAUGAAUUUCAGUAAAACUUCUGUUCUUGCUGAUUAUUUGUGAGAGUUGCUUUCGGCCUUAGGUAUAAGGUAAUUAGAUGAAAUAAAAGUGAUUUGGAUUAGGAAAGGAAA